Triplophysa rosa is the source of this 317-nucleotide long non-coding RNA. RefSeq lists it as uncharacterized. The record is from RefSeq and is a predicted model, not a curated record. The transcript is spliced from 3 exons. NCBI's taxonomy places the organism in Eukaryota, Metazoa, Chordata, Actinopteri, Cypriniformes, Nemacheilidae.
GCAGGGAGGUGGGACGGCAGAAAGAAAAAUAAAUCAUUCUGGCAAAGUUUUCGGAAGACACCGAAAGGAAGCAUCCGAGCUGCGCCCAAAGGGGAGGACCUGGGUUUUGUGGCCAGUGAGAUCACCAUGAGCGACGAAGAGCGCAUUCAACUGAUGAUGAUGGUGAAGGAGAAGAUGAUAACGGUGGAGGAAGCGCUGGCUCGGCUGAAGGAAUAUGAAUCACAGAACAAGCAAUCCGACAGCGCAGAUGGGAUCGAUUGGACCGACGCGCCCAAUCUCUCCAUCACCGAAUCCUCCUUCUGCAACGUAAGUCUCAG